AGUCGAACGGUAACAUUUCUAGCUUGCUAGAAGAUGACGAGUGGCGGACGGGUGAGUAAUGCUUGGGAACUUGCCUUUGCGAGGGGGAUAACAGUUGGAAACGACUGCUAAUACCGCAUAAUGUCUUCGGACCAAACGGGGCUUCGGCUCCGGCGCAAAGAGAGGCCCAAGUGAGAUUAGCUAGUUGGUAAGGUAACGGCUUACCAAGGCGACGAUCUCUAGCUGUUCUGAGAGGAAGAUCAGCCACACUGGGACUGAGACACGGCCCAGACUCCUACGGGAGGCAGCAGUGGGGAAUAUUGCACAAUGGGGGAAACCCUGAUGCAGCCAUGCCGCGUGUGUGAAGAAGCCUUCGGGUUGUAAAGCACUUUCAGUUGUGAGGAAAAGUUAGUAGUUAAUACCUGCUAGCCGUGACGUUAACAACAGAAGAAGCACCGGCUAACUCCGUGCCAGCAGCCGCGGUAAUACGGAGGUGCGAGCGUUAAUCGGAAUUACUGGGCGUAAAGCGCACGCAGGCGGUUUGUUAAGCUAGAUGUGAAAGCCCCGGGCUCAACCUGGGAUGGUCAUUUAGAACUGGCAGACUAGAGUCUUGGA
Molecule: ribosomal RNA, 594 nt
Filed under: uncultured Alteromonas sp.
Lineage: Bacteria; Pseudomonadati; Pseudomonadota; Gammaproteobacteria; Alteromonadales; Alteromonadaceae
Description: bacterial SSU rRNA
Rfam family: Bacterial small subunit ribosomal RNA
Source: RNAcentral